UACGUAGGGUGCGAGCGUUGUCCGGAAUUAUUGGGCGUAAAGAGCUUGUAGGUGGCUCGUUGCGUCGGGAGUGAAAACCUGCGGCUUAACCGCAGGCCUGCUUCCGAUACGGGCGAGCUAGAGUUCGGCAGGGGAGACUGGGAAUUCCUGGUGUAGCGGUGGAAUGCGCAGAUAUCAGGAGGAACACCGGUGGCGAAGGCGGGUCUCGUGGGCCGAUACUGACACUGAGAAGCGAAAAGCGUGGGGAGCGAACGG
This 255-nucleotide ribosomal RNA is filed under the name uncultured bacterium. RNAcentral's name for it is "partial 16S ribosomal RNA". It matches the Rfam family "Bacterial small subunit ribosomal RNA", at positions 524 to 775 of the family's 1533-position model. The record is from RNAcentral.